RNAcentral lists this ribosomal RNA (524 nucleotides) under Macalpinomyces spermophorus. RNAcentral's name for it is "partial 26S ribosomal RNA". It matches the Rfam family "Eukaryotic large subunit ribosomal RNA", at positions 140 to 644 of the family's 3401-position model. Lineage: Eukaryota; Fungi; Basidiomycota; Ustilaginomycetes; Ustilaginales; Ustilaginaceae. The record is from RNAcentral.
GCAUUGUAAUCUCAAGAAGUGUUUCCGCUUCGGACCAAGCCUAAGUCCCACUGGAAAGGGGCAUCAUAGAGGGUGAUAAUCCCGUACAUGGCUUGGAGCGCCCGUAGCUUUGUGAUACACUUUCUAAGAGUCGAGUUGUUUGGGAAUGCAGCUCAAAAUGGGUGGUAAAUGCCAUCUAAGGCUAAAUAUUGGGGAGAGACCGAUAGCGAACAAGUACAGUGAUGGAAAGAUGAAAAGAACUUUGAAAAGAGAGUUAAACAGUACGUGAAAUUGCCAAAAGGGAAGGGUAGGAGGUCAGAGAUGCGGCCUAGGAUUCAGCCUUGCUUUUGCUUGGUGUUUUUCGCUAGAUUGCAGGCCAACGUCGGUUUUGGGCACUGGAGAAGGGUGGAAGGAACGUGGCACCUCUCGGGGUGUGUUAUAGCCUUCUACUGGAUACAGCGACCGAGACCGAGGACAGCAGCGUACUCGCAAGAGCGGGCCUUCGGGCACCUUUACGCUUAGGGCGUUGGCAUAAUGGCCCUCUA